UGAAACCGUGUGCCUACAACAAGUUCGAGCCCGUUAAUGGGUGAGAGCGUGCCUUUUGUAGAAUGAACCGGCGAGUUACGAUAUGAUGCGAGGUUAAGUUGAAGAGACGGAGCCGUAGGGAAACCGAGUCUUAAUAGGGCGCAUUAGUAUCAUGUCGUAGACCCGAAACCAUGUGACCUACCCAUGAGCAGGUUGAAGGUGAGGUAAAACUCACUGGAGGACCGAACCAGGGCACGUUGAAAAGUGCUUGGAUGACUUGUGGGUAGCGGAGAAAUUCCAAACGAACUUGGAGAUAGCUGGUUCUCUCCGAAAUAGCUUUAGGGCUAGCGUCGAUGUUAAGUCUCUUGGAGGUAGAGCACUGUUUGGGUGAGGGGUCCAUCCCGGAUUACCAAUCUCAGAUAAACUCCGAAUGCCAAUGAGAUAUAAUCGGCAGUCAGACUGCGAGUGCUAAGAUCCGUAGUCGAAAGGGAAACAGCCCAGACCACCAGCUAAGGUCCCAAAAUAUAUGUUAAGUGGAAAAGGAUGUGGGGUUGCACAGACAACUAGGAUGUUAGCUUAGAAGCAGCUAUUCAUUCAAAGAGUGCGUAAUAGCUCACUAGUCGAGUGACCCUGCGCCGAAAAUGUACCGGGGCUAAAACAUAUUACCGAAGCUGUGGAUACCUUUAUAGGUAUGGUAGGAGAGCGUUCUAUGUGCGAAGAAGGUGUACCGUGAGGAGUGCUGGAGCGCAUAGAAGUGAGAAUGCCGGUAUGAGUAGCGAAAGACAGGUGAGAAUCCUGUCCACCGUAAGACUAAGGUUUCCAGGGGAAGGCUCGUCCGCCCUGGGUUAGUCGGGACCUAAGGAGAGACCGAAAGGUGUAUCCGAUGGACAACAGGUUGAUAUUCCUGUACUAGAGUAUAUAGUGAUGGAGGGACGCAGUAGGCUAACUAAACCAGACGAUUGGAAGUGUCUGGCCAAGCAGUGAGGUGUGAUAUGAGUCAAAUGCUUAUAUCUUUAACAUUGAGCUGUGAUGGGGAGCGAAGUUUAGUAGCGAAGUUAGUGAUGUCACACUGCCGAGAAAAGCUUCUAGCGUUAAUUAUACUCUACCCGUACCGCAAACCGACACAGGUAGUCGAGGCGAGUAGCCUCAGGUGAGCGAGAGAACUCUCGUUAAGGAACUCGGCAAAAUGGCCCCGUAACUUCGGGAGAAGGGGCGCUGACUGAUGGUCAGCCGCAGUGAAUAGGCCCAAGCAACUGUUUAUCAAAAACACAGCUCUCUGCUAAAUCGUAAGAUGAUGUAUAGGGGGUGACGCCUGCCCGGUGCUGGAAGGUUAAGAGGAGUGCUUAGCGUAAGCGAAGGCAUGAAUUGAAGCCCCAGUAAACGGCGGCCGUAACUAUAACGGUCCUAAGGUAGCGAAAUUCCUUGUCGGGUAAGUUCCGACCCGCACGAAAGGCGUAAUGAUUUGGGCACUGUCUCAACGAGAGACUCGGUGAAAUUUUAGUACCUGUGAAGAUGCAGGUUACCCGCGACAGGACGGAAAGACCCCAUGGAGCUUUACUGCAGUUUGAUAUUGAGUAUCUGUACCACAUGUACAGGAUAGGUAGGAGCCUAUGACCUCGGGACGCCAGUUUCGAGUGAGGCGUUGUUGGGAUACUACCCUUGUGUUAUGGCUACUCUAACCCAGAUAGGUUAUCCCUAUCGGAGACAGUGUCUGACGGGCAGUUUGACUGGGGCGGUCGCCUCCUAAAAGGUAACGGAGGCGCCCAAAGGUUCCCUCAGAAUGGUUGGAAAUCAUUCGCAGAGUGUAAAGGUAUAAGGGAGCUUGACUGCGAGAGCUACAACUCGAGCAGGGACGAAAGUCGGGCUUAGUGAUCCGGUGGUUCCGUAUGGAAGGGCCAUCGCUCAACGGAUAAAAGCUACCCUGGGGAUAACAGGCUUAUCUCCCCCAAGAGUUCACAUCGACGGGGAGGUUUGGCACCUCGAUGUCGGCUCGUCGCAUCCUGGGGCUGUAGUCGGUCCCAAGGGUUGGGCUGUUCGCCCAUUAAAGCGGCACGCGAGCUGGGUUCAGAACGUCGUGAGACAGUUCGGUCCCUAUCCGUCGCGGGCGUAGGAAAUUUGAGAGGAUCUGCUCCUAGUACGAGAGGACCAGAGUGGACUUACCGCUGGUGUACCAGUUGUUCUGCCAAGAGCAUCGCUGGGUAGCUAUGUAGGGAAGGGAUAAACGCUGAAAGCAUCUAAGUGUGAAGCCCACCUCAAGAUGAGAUUUCCCAUGAUUUUAUAUCAGUAAGAGCCCUGAGAGAUGAUCAGGUUGAUAGGUUAGAAGUGGAAGUGUGGUGACACAUGUAGCGGACUAAUACUAAUAGCUCGAGGACUUAUCCAA
RNAcentral lists this ribosomal RNA (2359 nucleotides) under human gut metagenome. RNAcentral's name for it is "bacterial LSU rRNA". It matches the Rfam family "Bacterial large subunit ribosomal RNA", at positions 551 to 2925 of the family's 2925-position model. The record is from RNAcentral.